This 993-nucleotide ribosomal RNA is filed under the name uncultured organism. RNAcentral's name for it is "bacterial SSU rRNA". It matches the Rfam family "Bacterial small subunit ribosomal RNA", at positions 458 to 1442 of the family's 1533-position model. The record is from RNAcentral.
AAGUUCGGUAGUGGACGGUACUUGGCAAGCAAGCUCCGGUGACUUCGUCCAGCAGCCGCGGUAAUACGAGGGGAGCAAGCGUUGUCCGAAAUAACUGGGCGUAAAGGUACGUAGGCUUUUUGGUAUGUUUUCGGUGAAAGUCACAGGCUUAACUUGUGAAUUGCCGGAAAAACUGCAGAGAUUGAAUCCGAAAGGGGAAAGCAGAAUUCCUGGUGUAGCGGUGAAAUGCGUAGAUAUCAGGAGGAAUACCAGUGGCGAAGGCGGCUUUCUGGUUCGGAAUUGACGCUGAUGUACUAAAGCGUGGGUAGCAAACAGGAUUAGAUACCCUGGUAGUCCACGCCUUAAACUAUGGAUACUUGAUGUCGGGGCGUUCGGUCGACCCGGUGUCGUAGCUAACGUGUUAAGUAUCCCGCCUGGGGACUACGGUCGCAAGACUGAAACUCAAAGGAAUUGACGGGGGCCCGCACCAGCGGUGGAACAUGUGGUUUAAUUCGAUGCAACGCGAAGAACCUUACCUGGGCUUGACAUAUAUAUGGCGUAUGUAAGAAAUUAUGUAUUCUGUCUGUUUUUUCAGAUAGCAUAUAUACAGGUGAUGCAUGGCUGUCGUCAGCUCGUGUCGUGAGAUGUAGGGUUAAGUCCCUUAACGAGCGCAACCCUUGCUUUUAGUUGCCAUCAGGUAGUGCUGGGGACUCUAGAAGGACUGCCGAGGUUAACUCGGAGGAAGGUGGGGAUGACGUCAAGUCAGUAUGUCCCUUAUGUCCAGGGCUACACACGUGUUACAAUGGUCGGUACAGAGUGACGCUAAUCCACGAGGUGGCGCCAAUCACUUAAAGCCGAUCCCAGUUCGGAUUGGAGUCUGCAAUUCGACUCCAUGAAGUUGGAAUCGCUAGUAAUCGCAGAACAGCAUGCUGCGGUGAUACGUUCCCGGGCAUUGUACACACCGCCCGUCACGCCAUGGAAGUUGGGAGUACCCGAAGUUGCUGUCCAUACGUU